AUCUUCGGCCAUGCCACCCUGAACAACCUCGAUCCCAUCUGAUCUCGGAAGCUAAGCAGGGUUGGGCCUGGUUAGUACUUGGAUGGGAGACCACCUAGGAAGAUUUUUUAAAUAAAAAAU
RNAcentral lists this ribosomal RNA (120 nucleotides) under Pteropus alecto (black flying fox). The record is from RNAcentral. Lineage: Eukaryota; Metazoa; Chordata; Mammalia; Chiroptera; Pteropodidae.